RNAcentral lists this ribosomal RNA (303 nucleotides) under Triticum aestivum (bread wheat). RNAcentral describes it as "partial small subunit ribosomal RNA". Lineage: Eukaryota; Viridiplantae; Streptophyta; Magnoliopsida; Poales; Poaceae. The record is from RNAcentral.
AUGGAGUGCUCACACUACAAGGCGUUCAGAUUCGAGAAUCAUUGGCUAAAAGCUCAAGGUUUCGAUGACAUUGUCAACCAGGCAUGGACCAGGGAGGUCAAAUCAACGGACCCAGUGAGGGUGCUGCACACCAAGCUAUCCAGAACGGCGAGGGCUCUGCGGUUGUGGAACAAGCAGCAUACGAAGUGGGCUGUUUUCAUGUCGAAGGUGGCAAGCGAAGUCAUUUUCAGGCUUGAUCUGGCCCAGGAGGAAAGAGCUCUUUCUGACGAGGAGCGUCGGUUGCGUGGUCUGCUCAAGGUCUAG